Vicia villosa (hairy vetch) is the source of this 540-nucleotide long non-coding RNA. RefSeq lists it as uncharacterized. The transcript is spliced from 2 exons. The record is from RefSeq and is a predicted model, not a curated record. NCBI's taxonomy places the organism in Eukaryota, Viridiplantae, Streptophyta, Magnoliopsida, Fabales, Fabaceae.
CUCAUUCUUCUCGUUCUUUCCUUCCUUCACUCUCUCUAUUCUCUCUCGUCCUCCCCUCAUUCAAACAACAACCCAGAAAACACCACAAACCACCGCGACUCCCACCACAAACCACCGUGCAUGCCCAGUUUUCCGGUUGAUAUUCAACCGGAAAAUUCAAACCCUCAUGCAAACCAAACCCAGAAACUUAAAGCCGAACCCUAAUCCUCAAUCGAAACUCAGAUUCACCUAAUAAACCUCAAAUCCAAACAUGUAGCUAGGUGGGUGGUUCGACUCAAGAGAUUAGGGUUCUAAGGAUGAAACCCAGGUCUUUGAAUCUCCAAGGGCUUCGGUGUUCGUCACGGCGCCCAGCAAAAAAUCCCCCCCCCCAGAAAAUUCCUUUCAUCUGAUUUCUUCUUUUUGAUUUAUAGUUAGGUUUAGAUCUUAGUUUAGAAAGAUUAGAUUAGGUUAUUUCAUUUAUAUUUUGAUUCGAUUAUCCUUUGUAUCUUGUAAAUGAUUUGAAUCUUUAAUAAAAAUCAGAUUUCGAUUUUGUUAAGUUUA